Long non-coding RNA from Rhinopithecus roxellana (golden snub-nosed monkey), 374 nucleotides. RefSeq lists it as uncharacterized. NCBI's taxonomy places the organism in Eukaryota, Metazoa, Chordata, Mammalia, Primates, Cercopithecidae. The transcript is spliced from 3 exons. The record is from RefSeq and is a predicted model, not a curated record.
GACGUGAGCCACUGCACCUGGCCUAUUUCUUUCCCUUUCUGUGUCUUUUCAAUUUUUUUUAAAACAAAAAGAGCAGUCUCUUUGAUCCAGAGCUUCACGGGAGGGUGAGACUGUGGCUCCCAGGGUCCUGCGAGAAAAGCAAGUUGAUUGAAGGAAAAAUCUGUGGUCCGGGGAGAUGUUCCAAAUCCUGGAGGUGGAGAGGAAUGAAUGACGUUUGUGGCUUGCAGAUCAACUCCCCUCAGCGGGCGUGACGUCAUUGCAGCCAAAAUUGUCCUCCACGCACUGCUACGACAUCCACCUGCCUCUGGACCUCACCCAGGGACGCUGCUAUGAUCACUGAGCCAUUCAGCAAUAUUCCAGCCCUUUCUCCCUCC